Molecule: small nucleolar RNA, 104 nt
Organism: Eutrema salsugineum
Lineage: Eukaryota; Viridiplantae; Streptophyta; Magnoliopsida; Brassicales; Brassicaceae
Rfam family: Plant small nucleolar RNA R71
About the family: R71 is a member of the C/D box family of snoRNAs containing the C (UGAUGA) and D (CUGA) box motifs.
Source: Rfam
AACCUAUGAUGAGGACACUCUCUAGUGUAUCCUUUAAGUCUCUCCCAUGCUUCAUUAAAAGUCUCAUGGGUUCCUUGAUUGAAGCUCAAGAAUUUUCCUAGCUU